Long non-coding RNA from Octodon degus (degu), 1265 nucleotides. RefSeq lists it as uncharacterized. NCBI's taxonomy places the organism in Eukaryota, Metazoa, Chordata, Mammalia, Rodentia, Octodontidae. The record is from RefSeq and is a predicted model, not a curated record. The transcript is spliced from 4 exons.
CUGGGACACCUGCCCUCCACCGAGAGGCCCCCACUGCUCGUGGAAGGCCUCUGCUGUCCCGUCAUCCCGUUGGUGAUUAUGGCACCUGUCUCGCCUUCCUGGGACCGUACAGACAGCUACAUUUGGUGAUUUAAUCAUGCAUUUUUCAGUUAGUCCAACAUCUAUAACCUGCUGGUAGUCAAGGAAAUUGCCAAUCUAAGACCUGGAAGAAAAUGAGAGGUGUCUAUGAACACUCUGGGAACCCUGGAACAUCUGAAGAAACUAUGAAGGCACUAGAAUCUUCUGGAAACAGCAACAAGCACCUUGCUUUCUCACAGGUGGCUUGUGGUGGUGACUCACAAUUGCUACAAAGCCUGCUUGCAACAUGGUACCAAUUCCUAAACUUCUCUCCCUCUGAGCAGUGAGACAUUUCUCACUCCUACAUAAAGAAAAACGCCUUGAGAAAUUAAGAGAUAUCCAGGACAAGGAGAAAGAACUGCGAUGGUGGGAAUGAAGCUGCAACUAAAGCCAACAGAAACUGCCAAGUAUUCUCAAACAUAUAGCUCUAUGACACAGAAAAGAGCUAAGGAUAACAACAAACUGUGAAGGUGGCAAGAGAAUGUUUAUCUCAAUCGCCUCAAUAUCUAAGGACAAAUAAUGGAGUUACGUUUAAGGUGACAGCUAUUAAAGGGUGACCCAGAAAUGGCUGAGUUGGAACUGAGAUUCUUGCUAACCAAUAAUGAACAAAUAUCGGGGUGGAUGUGCUCAUCACAGGAGAGCCUUGGCUGAGCCAUGAGGCUACUGGCUGGGUGGGAACACUGGGGCAGGGCUGUGACACAGCUGGGACGGACACUGUGAAGAGCAGAUAGGACCAAAUGGAAGAAGACAGUGGGGCAAAGCCAAGGCAGCGUACAGUUGGGAGGAACUGGAGCUUGGGCCUGAGGCAGCAUGUGUGAGACUGGAAGACACCAACUAGGAGAGCAACCAGUGUGUUCAGGUAUAGGACUGGAGGAAAGAGAAGAAUACCGGAAGCCGCAGACACGCAGGUAAGAGAGAGCAGUGGGAACAAGAGAGCAGUGGAAGUGAAAGCAGUUUAUCACUGAACAACAACGCAACAGCAGAAACACAAUGACAAGAAAGCAGUUAGGGACCAGAGUGCUGCUCCAGAUCAGAGAGCUCACGGGAAGAGGUGGCAUUCAGGGCUAGCAGAAGCUGUUUAAGGCAAUUCCAGGCCAGACGUGGUGGGGCAUGCCUACAUUCUCAGCACUCGGCAGGCUGAGGCAGGA